GACGAACGCUGGCGGCGUGCCUAAUACAUGCAAGUCGAACGCUGAAGGAGGAGCUUGCUUCUCUGGAUGAGUUGCGAACGGGUGAGUAACGCGUAGGUAACCUGCCUGGUAGCGGGGGAUAACUAUUGGAAACGAUAGCUAAUACCGCAUAAUAGCAGUUGUUGCAUGACAACUGUUUGAAAGGUGCAAUUGCACCACUACCAGAUGGACCUGCGUUGUAUUAGCUAGUUGGUGGGGUAACGGCUCACCAAGGCGACGAUACAUAGCCGACCUGAGAGGGGGAGCGGCCACACUGGGACGGAGACACGGCCCAGACUCCUACGGGAGGCAGCAGUAGGGAAUCUUCGGCAAGGGACGGAAGUCUGACCGAGCAACGCCGCGGGAGGGAAGAAGGUUGUCGGAUCGUAAAGCUCGGUUGUAAGGGAAGAACGAGUGUGAGAGUGGAAAGUUCACACUGUGACGGUAGCUUACCAGAAAGGGACGGCUAACUACGUG
RNAcentral lists this ribosomal RNA (495 nucleotides) under uncultured bacterium. RNAcentral's name for it is "partial 16S ribosomal RNA". It matches the Rfam family "Bacterial small subunit ribosomal RNA", at positions 28 to 507 of the family's 1533-position model. The record is from RNAcentral.